Molecule: ribosomal RNA, 229 nt
Filed under: uncultured bacterium
Lineage: Bacteria
Description: partial 16S ribosomal RNA
Rfam family: Bacterial small subunit ribosomal RNA
Source: RNAcentral
UGCGUAGGCGGAAUAUUAAGUCAGUGGUGAAAUCCUGCGGCUCAACCGUAGAACUGCCAUUGAUACUGAUAUUCUUGAAUGUAGUUGAAGUAGGCGGAAUGUGUAAUGUAGCGGUGAAAUGCUUAGAUAUUACACAGAACACCGAUUGCGAAGGCAGCUUGCUAAACUAUGAUUGACGCUGAUGCACGAAAGCGUGGGGAGCGAACAGGAUUAGAUACCCUGGUAGUCC